UACAGAGAGUGCAAGCGUUAAUCGGAAUUACUGGGCGUAAAGCGCACGUAGGUGGAUACUUAAGUCGGAUGUGAAAUCCCUGGGCUUAACCUAGGAAUGGCGUUCGAUACUGGGUAUCUUGAGUAUGGUAGAGGGAAGUGGAAUUUCCGGUGUAGCGGUGAAAUGCGUAGAUAUCGGAAGGAACAUCAGUGGCGAAGGCGACUUCCUGGACCAAUACUGACACUCAGGUGCGAAAGCGUGGGGAGCAAACAGG
RNAcentral lists this ribosomal RNA (253 nucleotides) under uncultured bacterium. RNAcentral's name for it is "partial 16S ribosomal RNA". It matches the Rfam family "Bacterial small subunit ribosomal RNA", at positions 524 to 776 of the family's 1533-position model. The record is from RNAcentral.